This 253-nucleotide ribosomal RNA is filed under the name uncultured bacterium. RNAcentral describes it as "partial 16S ribosomal RNA". It matches the Rfam family "Bacterial small subunit ribosomal RNA", at positions 524 to 776 of the family's 1533-position model. The record is from RNAcentral.
UACGUAGGGGGCGAGCGUUGUCCGGAUUUAUUGGGCGUAAAGAGCGUGUAGGCGGCCAGGUAGGUCUGCUGUGAAAACUCGAGGCUCAACCUCGAGACGUCGGCGGAAACCAUCUGGCUAGAGUCCGGAAGAGGAGAGUGGAAUUCCUGGUGUAGCGGUGAAAUGCGCAGAUAUCAGGAAGAACACCCGUGGCGAAGGCGGCUCUCUGGGACGGUACUGACGCUGAGGCACGAAAGCGUGGGGAGCAAACAGG